RNAcentral lists this ribosomal RNA (253 nucleotides) under uncultured bacterium. RNAcentral describes it as "partial 16S ribosomal RNA". It matches the Rfam family "Bacterial small subunit ribosomal RNA", at positions 524 to 776 of the family's 1533-position model. The record is from RNAcentral.
UACGAAGGGGGCUAGCGUUGCUCGGAAUUACUGGGCGUAAAGGGAGCGUAGGCGGAUAGUUUAGUCAGAGGUGAAAGCCCAGGGCUCAACCUUGGAAUUGCCUUUGAUACUGGCUAUCUUGAGUGUGGGAGAGGUAUGUGGAACUCCGAGUGUAGAGGUGAAAUUCGUAGAUAUUCGGAAGAACACCAGUGGCGAAGGCGACAUACUGGCUCAUUACUGACGCUGAGGCUCGAAAGCGUGGGGAGCAAACAGG